GCCUUGCAGCCUGAGAUCCAGCCUCUAAAUUUGAACAGGGAGGGAGACGAGGUGACUGAGCAGACUUUUGUUGCUGCUCUCUCUCUCUGACUCUCUCUCCCUCUCUCUCUCUCUCUCUGUCUCUCUCUCUUGCAAUGUUAUUUUCCCCCUCCUCUCCCAGUAGAGAGUGUGUGGAGAGAUUUUUUGCUAUGGAAGAGCAAGAGGAGCUGCAGAUUUCAGCCAGUGCAAAAUUGAAGAAGGGGGAAGUACAGAAAAUAAGAAGAAGAGGAAAAAAAAAAGGCAAGAGAGAAAGACAUCUCCCUCUCCCACAUUCCCUCCUCUGCCAACGACUUUUACCUCAGAAAGAGCGGAGGGACCAACUUCAAAAGGCAGUCAGGAAGGAGCUGGAGUGUGAAAUCUGAGAAGAGAAGCAAGAUGAGAGGCUGACCGCCGCUGUGUUUGCUAUGCUGUCCAGGACAGCAGACUGGAAGCUUCAGAUGGCCUGACCUGAUGAUCUUAAUCAUGGAAGACUCUGCUGCUGAAGACUGAGGGCCUGUGAGGGGAUACACUAAAUCAGGAAGCGAGCUAGAAGAACAACAAGCAAGGGGGCAUCUUGGAUCUGAAGGGGAGGGCUCUCGGGAGCUGAGAGGGAUGCACGGCCAGCACUAUCUCCAGCACGCUCCUGCCUCAAACAAUGGCGAUCAGAGGAGGAAGGCCAUGGCGCAGUGAGCUAAGGCGUUCACCACACGCUCACCGUGUCACACUUUUCAGUUUGGCUCACACCCUGCUGUGUGUUGCAUGUCACCUGGGCUUAUCUGUUUUCUGUCUGCUGCACAGUGCACCAUUGCAUACGAUGAAAUGUGGAUCAAGUAGCUACUGUAGGCGGACUGGUGUAUACUGGUGAAACCUCUGGGGAUGGGUGGAUGGGGAUGUAGUGACAUGAAUGCUGUUUUAAGGGUCACGUGACAAAGUUAAGGCAGGAGGAGCUGAGGCGUCUAAAAGGAUGACUGGAAGCUGUCAUCGUUUGUAUUAAUUUUGGCCAUUGAUAUGAGGGCUAUACUAAUUAUUUGCCUAAAUUUAACAGUCUGUCAGUAUUGGCAACCUUUAAUGUGAUGCUACUUGUUUGCUCACAUAUAAAGCACUUAUUGUGGUCUCAUGUUAAUGUAGCGUUUUGAUCUGAUGCCACACAAGUAAGACACAUAAAUGUGUAGUUUUGAUGUUACAUGGUCUGAACAUUCUCUGGUAAAUACUGAGUACUUGCAGCUUUUAAGCUUCUAAGCUAAUUAUUUAGCAAUCCAGUAGCAUAUCAAUCAGCACAGGUACCUUUAAAAAUGUGGAAUGCUAAUUGGAUACCAAUACUUGUUGGCAUCCUGAGCCACUAGCUGACUAAAACCAAUACGUGUUGCUGCUGGUGCUGGUAAAGAAAUAGCUAAACAGCUUAUUAGCAUCAGUAGCUUAUGAGAGAUAAUGCUAAUGCUGCUGUGGUAGCAUUAACCUUGUCAUACACCAGUGGAUACUGUUGAGUAACGAAGCAUCUGUCAGCGUGAUAGCUCUUUGUUUCUCCAGCAGGCCUGGCUGUCUCUGUGUGUGUGUGUGUGUGUGUGUGUGUACCUUUAUGACUUGAGAGCAGCACAGAGUAAUGUUGAGAGCGUGACCAUGACAGCUCUGUACAUUAUGUGCUUGACCUCAGUGAACCCUCAGCGAUGUUAAAGCUCACUCACUCAUGCUAACGCAAAUGUAAAGGUGGCCGUAAGAACACACUCACAGUGCAGCUAGUGAUGUCCAGAGUCCACAAUCUGCGCCGCCUUUUGCCGCUAGACGCCGACAUCGCCGCCGUCCGUGAUUCACAUGUGAAGUGCUUCUGAAUAUGCAACUGUUGAUUUGAUUCUGAUGUCUAGCUGCAACCAGAGUGGCGGCACACUUUGUCGUUGAUAGUAACAAGAAUCCCACUUGCUGACUUUGAAUAACACUUCAGUUGGUCAUAGUAGCAAAGUAGCACAUGGACGGCUCUUCAGGGCACACGUCCAUUUUCGUUUGAGCCAUGAGGUUCCGACUGGUUGUUUAAAGGUUAGUUUACCGUGUCGUCCACACUUGCACCUUGCAGGAGGAGGCAUCUCCUGAGAUCCAUUUGCAGCAUAUUUUUUAACAGCAGCUCUUUGGCAGCACGAUUCAUCGAUCUUCGGCCCAUCACAUCGUAGUUAAUAUCUGGCUUUAAUGGGGCGUAGCGUGAAUAUUGAUGAUAACUCAUCUUCAUGGACGCUUCCCUUCAUCUAAAUGCAUCCUAAACCCCAUGCACUUGUGGAUCUCAGAUUUUAGGAAGUGGAAAUUGCGCUGGGUGCUACAUUGAUGCACGUGAAAAACUUGUUUUUUGGUUUGAAACAGGAUGUUAUCUUAGAUAUUACAUACUAAGAUUCGUAUAUGUUAUUCGGAAUUCAAAGACUGCAUUUCGGCCCUUGUGUGCAACAUAUACUAAGGCUGACGUCUCAAAUCAUUGUGACCCUGAAGCUCCAUUUAUUUUGAUCAAUAAAUGUCUCUUUUUGACAUCAUGAGCAUGACUGUUUGCUUUUACUCUUGACCUUGAAAAGUAUAUUUAUCAUUUCCCCUUCUUCAGUGCCAUUUCUUCAACUGACAACAGCUGGAUAUGAUGUGCUGAUGUGUUGGAAAAGAUGCUUCAUCCUGUUCCCCAUUCCGUCCUGUUGUUAAUGAACUAAUAUGGAUUCUAACUUGAAUCCCCUCUGCACUGCUAAUCUGCUGCUUUAGCAAUUCUCUUAUAUAACGCCUCCGUCAGCCCCGUGUGUCUCUUUUUCUACCAUCUCUCUGCCUCAAAAUCGUUUUUUAUUUGUUCAGCUCGGUGAACAAACACUAACCUGGAGCAGUUAGUGUCUAGCCGGUAAGCUCGAAAGGGGCUGUAGGCUUGCUCUCCAUUGUUCAGGCUGCGCCGCACACCGUCUGUACACUGUGUCCCCGUGGCUGAAGCAGACAUAGAGGACAGACAGACAGACAGACAGACAGACAGACAGACAUAGCAACUGGUGGGCAUAUACCCGCCUCGAUAAGCUGCUUCAUCGCCCCAAUGUUGAUUGAAUUUUUUACAAAAGGGACAUGGGCAGAUCAGUGUUGUCUACUCCUGACAUGAUGACAUGCAGAUGAUGCGGUUUGCAUCAGGGAAGCCUGUGAGCUGAAUUCUGAUCUGAUCGAACAUUUCAGACAGAUUUAAUGAAAACGUGGGUAAAAAUCUUUGAUCUUAUUCUUUGAUUGAGGGAUGACUCUUCAGGGAACCUUUUACCCAGCAGCUUCAGGUGUGUCAGUCAGUAAAACCUGUCAAUGACACCUGCCUUACUGAGAUCCUGUACCACUAAGUCUCCGAGAUUUACAAGUCUUGAUUUCAGUUUCAAGUUAAGUCUCCCACAGUGGUCUAAAUGCAGCAUCUGUGGCUCAAAAUAUCCGCUAUUCCCGUAUUGGUUGAUUCUAAAUGCCAGCUGGCUGAUGUAAUCCCUUUUAAGGUGGACCUUUGUUAAGGUGGACUGCGGGAGGUGCAGUGAACACCCAGUGGAUGACUUAAAUCUGGUCAAAAGGGAGUUUAGUGUGCAAUACUUCAGGUGUGGAGAGUAUGCUGGAUGGGUUGCUGCAGGGUUACGCCCAAAGCGCCUCAGGAAAAUGUUUGAGGAGUCAGUCCGAUUUGGAUCAAAAUAAAAGACAAAAUCAAAAUUAUUGAUCAGAGAGAUCGAUCGGCACAUUGAGAAAAAGCGGCGAACGAGGCAACAGUCGAUUGGCAGUAAGCCUCGCCGUCUCUCUGUGGCAGCUGGGGUGGUUUCUCUCCAUGUUGAGUUUACAGUCACCAUUCUGCAGUUUUUUUCUGCCACUCCCUUUAACACACAGCCUCGACUCAGCUGCAGGCAGGAGGAGCACACUCAUCAAUAAUCAGAGCUGGUCAGCGUGUGUGUGUGUGUGUGUGUGUGUGCCUCCUACAGUAUCUAUCAGCAUGUCUGUAAUGUUUGUGUGUGUGUGUGUGUGUUUAGCAGCUCUUCCCCACUGCAGAGGGGUUCACUACCCCUUCCUUCCAGUCUGUCGGUAAAACAAGAUGGCGUCGCAGCUCCACGUGGGCCCUUCCGCGCUGGCUAAUGCCCAGUACCUAUGGCACUGGAAAGCCACAGAGGUCAUUUUUGGAAUUGUUGCAAACCUGUGGUGAAUUUACUUGCCACAUAGCUGAAAUUGCUGAGGAGCUUCUCAGUGCUGUAGUUUGGCCGACUUUUAGAGAUUUAGGAAUUGGGGCAGAUCCAGCUCUUUCAUUGUUUUUCCUGUUGGUUUAUUCACUCACUCGGCAUAUCAGCUGCCAAACUGUAUGCUGUUUUGUCUGCAAUCUGGGCGAUUUUAAAUGUGGUCGGGGUGGACGAGGACGUUUUCAGCAUGAUUUGUCUGUAUGCGUGCGUGUGUGUGUGUGUGUGUGAGUGUGUGUCCUCCCUGACUCAGGCUAAGGCCAGUUUAAAGGAGCUUGGGGAUUGUGCAGAGCCACAUCACACCAGCAGAUUAACCAGACUACACACUAACCUCAUUAAUCUGAGAAAGACUAAUGACACCAACAACGUGUCAGCAGUCACACACACAUAAACACACAAACACACACCUACAAACACAUGCAUUUAAAACUGUUCCCUUUGUCUCUACCUAAUAGAAACCCAGGUACUGAUGACCGGAGGCCGAGGCAGAGCCCGUCUCCUCUUCCUCAGUGUUGUCCUGCUCCAGGUCAUGUUGGAUUUAAAGACAUGCUGGAAAUCCCCCUAUGAAUCAACAUUUAACACUUUGCUGCCACGUCAACCAAAAAGCUGCAAACGUUUUUGAAGGGAAAGAGCUUAAGCACACUGGCUGCGGUUAACAUUUUGGAUCAUUUUCGGCCUCAGCAGCCUUGAUACCAGGAAGCUGCGGAGAUGCGAUCAGCUAUUGUGUGUCUGCACAGAGAGAUUUGAUUUGGGGGUUUCAAGUCGCUUUCUCUUUCUUUUUUCAACUGAGCUGGCAAGUUUUUGAAGGACUAUAUCUGUAAUCUAUUUGAUGAUGAUGGGCACAUCACGCAGCAUCUGGAUCAGGACAAGAUAUUAUAACACCAACCAUUCUCACACAAUUUGAGACUUUGACUGUAUCUGAGUUCUUUACGAAGAUGUUAAAACACCUUGGACUUUUCACUGUUUUCUGACAUUUUAUAGACAAAAUGAUUAAUGGAGAAAAUAAUCGGCAGAUUAAUCAAUAAUGGAAAUAAUUUGCGGUUGCAGCCCUACUUUGGUUAGCUUUAAAUUUGACAAUGUUUUGUAAAUGGAACAAAUGCAACACAAAUAAGAUACACUUUUAGAUCCCACACAGGGACACUGAAGUGUCACAGCAGCAAAAGGAAGAACAGGAACAGAUGCACAGUAACUUUAAGAAUCUUUAAAAAACUAGAUAACUACAUAUAUUAUGUGCAUGUACUAUAUACUACUAAACACUGUACUGUACAAUAUUGCAAUCUGAGACACAAGACACUUUACCCUCCACCAAAUUCCAUUCAAUCAAGUGCAAUUUUUGUAUUGAUUUUUUUAUUAUUGCAACAUACUUCUUAAAGGACACUUUUCUCAUCUGUUGUCAUCCACUUGUGACAUCAUGACAUAAUGUCAGGGACGCUGAAUCUUAUGUAUUGUCUGUAUUAGUGAAAGCAAAUUGUCACUUGCAUAUGCUAUUUCUAUUCCAAUGUAAACCACAGAUGUAUGCUACUUAUGUUAUACUAACUUAUAGAACAAUAAUUGAUUCAUUUUUCACAUUUUUUGUUUUGUCACAUAAAACACAAUUUCCAGCUAUUUGUGUGUGCUGACCAGAGCUCAUUACCAGAGCUGAAGUGGACUGCAAAUCUAACUAUAUGAAGGAAUAUAUGAAAUUAAUCUAUAUGCUAUAAAUGUAUAGUGUACAGUGUAUAGUGAUUUAAGUUAAUGUUUUUAUUCUACAAUUGAAUUCUAUUUAGUAUUGGCAGUUGUAUGCUUUAUGAGGAUCAUGACUGGAUAUUAUAUUUUAAAACAACAUAACAUAUGAUAAUACCACUUUUUUCUCCUUGUAAUAAAUAUAGCAAUGAUGAGAGAGCAGUACAGUAAGCCCAGUGUUCUCUUCAGAGGCCUGGUAUUGAAAUAGAGACGUCUUACAGUUGUGUCUAAAUAAAGCCUUGAAGCUGUCAUUUCACAUGAUUGUCAAUUCUUUCAACUGCUUAUUAAUAGACGCUCUGAAUGAGUUGUGGGAUUUUUCUAAACAGGCAUGUCAUCUGGAACGUUUUGUAUUUUAUCUUUCGAGGUAUUUUUAUACCUUUUUAAAAGUCUUGAAUCUGUUUCAGUAAGAUUAACUCUUUGGCGUGAUUUUUGUUUCUGCAGAGCUGCCAAGAGAUAUUACAGCAUCCGCACCACAAAGACAUCGGACAGUACAUGAACCGAAAUAAAGACAUUAAUAAAGACAGCUGACAAGCACGUUCUCAGAAGUCAGUGUGCUUGCAGUAAUUAGUCUAUAUGAUCUGAAAUUGGAUGUAUGCACUUGAUGUAUGGUUAUUUGUUAAAUGUGUUACAAUACCACAAUAAAACGUCAUUAAUGAAUGUUAUUCAUGGUAAUUACACCUACAUGGAUACGGUAAAUAUUGAAAUAGUAAUGCAAAUAUUCAUUUUAUUUGAAGUAUGCAGAUAUUCAGAAAUGUGUCAGCUCAUCCAACAAUCAGCUUUUAUUGCUUUUCAUGUGUUCACAAUCAUUUCAACAGGAGGAAAAGAAAUGCAAACUUCAUUAGCACCACUGAGUCUAUUAGACCAGGUCAGGACAUGUCGAGGAAUGGUCCAUUAACAUGAGACGGAUAUGACAGCCACACUGAAGCAAGCUUCUACUGCCCAUACACACACAUACACACAUUUCUGUGGUGUACAGGAUAUCUUGACCGGGACAUACAUAGGCUGUACUGAUGUAAAAACACACACACAUACUGACUUCUAGCUAAAGUUUUGUUUUGUUUUUUGUCAAUGUGGCUCCACUGCUGAGAUACUAAGAUGCUUUUCCAGAGUAAUUUAAUUGUCUUUACUUUGUAAUACAAUUUUUUUUUGACGCUAAUAAAAUAUUUAUUAUAAAUGUCCUCUUUUUGUAUUAUUUCAAGAACUGCACCAAGGUUCUAUGCUAACAUUUUAUCAUUCAUAGCAUAUUAAGUAUGCUAGUAUUUUAUAUGCUAGGCAUAACUAAGUGUUAGUAUUUAGUAUUAAAGCUAGGGGAGGUAACGUUGAAGAACCUAGCAAGAGACAGCUAGAUUUUGAAAGUAUCCAGCCGAAAAAAUCCCCCCCCCCCUCCCUUCAGGCCUCCCUCCCAAGCCACUCCCCCAAAACACAUUUUCCUGCGGGACAAGUGCAAGGGCAGAGUGAGCGCUGGUAGGCAGGCAGGUAGGUAGACGGGCAGGUAGGCCAGCCAAUCAUUUCAUUCGGGCCAAAUGAAAUGAUUGGCUGGGCUUAUUCCAGGCCUGCCACAGCCACAGAUACAGGACUUUAUUUUUCCAGAGCAUUUGAUUUAUUGAUUGUUGUCGGGAUGUUAAGAGAAUUUCAGUGUCAAAAUGCUUUUGAAAUACAUUACCCACCCUAGCUUUAAGUAACACUUAUUCCCUAUGCUAAGUGACUUCACGGUUUAUGCUAACACCUCAGUAUAUAUUAACGAUAGAAUGUGCCAUGCUUACACUUUAGUAUACACUAUUGUAUGUGAAUGUAAACUCGAUACUAACAGUUAAGCAUACACUGUGCUAAAUGAUAUUAAUGGUAGCACUUUAGCAUGCUCUGUGCUAAGUGAUGGUUGGCUUCAUGCUAGCAUUUUAGUACACUGUAUGUUAAGUGAUUGUAGGCAUCAUGUUAACAAUAAAAAUAAUAAUAAUGCUAUGUGAUAGUAUAUUACAAGCUAACAUUUCAGUAUACACCAUUUUGAGAAAUAUUGCCUCAUGCUAACAUAUUAGCGUACACAUUAUUGAGUGGUAGAAGGCUAACCCUUUAUAACAUACAUUAUACUUUACGAUACGACAUUCCAAGCCAAUAUUUACAUUUAGCUACACUAUUCUGAGUAAAAUGGCUCCAUGCUAACACUUUAGUAGGCGUUAAGCUAAGACUCUCA
Long non-coding RNA from Siniperca chuatsi (mandarin fish), 8106 nucleotides. RefSeq lists it as uncharacterized. Lineage: Eukaryota; Metazoa; Chordata; Actinopteri; Centrarchiformes; Sinipercidae. The record is from RefSeq and is a predicted model, not a curated record. The transcript is spliced from 6 exons.